UACAGGGGGUGCAAACGUUGCUCGGAAUCAUUGGGCGUAAAGCGCACGUAGGCGGUCUGUUAUGUCGGAUGUGAAAGCCCUUGGCUUAACUGAGGAAGUGCAUCCGAAACUGGCAGGCUAGAGUACUAAAGAGGGUCGCGGAAUUCCCGGUGUAGAGGUGAAAUUCGUAGAUAUCAGGAGGAACACCGGCGGCGAAGGCGGCCCUCUGGAUCGUUGCUGACGCUGAGACGCGAAAGCGUGGGGAGCAAACAGG
This 253-nucleotide ribosomal RNA is filed under the name uncultured prokaryote. Its description in RNAcentral is "partial 16S ribosomal RNA". It matches the Rfam family "Bacterial small subunit ribosomal RNA", at positions 524 to 776 of the family's 1533-position model. The record is from RNAcentral.